This 73-nucleotide transfer RNA is filed under the name Streptomyces capitiformicae. RNAcentral describes it as "tRNA-Gln". It matches the Rfam family "tRNA". Rfam says of the family: Transfer RNA (tRNA) molecules are approximately 80 nucleotides in length. Their secondary structure includes four short double-helical elements and three loops (D, anti-codon, and T loops). Further hydrogen bonds mediate the characteristic L-shaped molecular structure. tRNAs have two regions of fundamental functional importance: the anti-codon, which is responsible for specific mRNA codon recognition, and the 3' end, to which the tRNAs corresponding amino acid is attached (by aminoacyl-tRNA synthetases). tRNAs cope with the degeneracy of the genetic code in two manners: having more than one tRNA (with a specific anti-codon) for a particular amino acid; and 'wobble' base-pairing, i.e. permitting non-standard base-pairing at the 3rd anti-codon position. Lineage: Bacteria; Bacillati; Actinomycetota; Actinomycetes; Kitasatosporales; Streptomycetaceae. The record is from RNAcentral.
UCCGCCGUGGGGUAACGGUAGCCCGCAGGCCUUUGAAGCCUUGCAGUGCUGGUUCGAAUCCAGCCGGCGGAGC